CUACGGGUCGCUGCAGUGGGGAAUAUUGGACAAUGGGGGAAACCCUGAUCCAGCAAUGCCGCGUGUGUGAAGAAGGCCUGCGGGUUGUAAAGCACUUUCGGUUGGGAGGACUGCUUCUAGCACUAAUAUUGUUGGAAGUUGACGUUACCUUCAGAAGAAGCACCGGCUAACUCCGUGCCAGCAGCCGCGGUAAUACGGAGGGCGCAAGCGUUAAUCGGAAUUACUGGGCGUAAAGCGCGCGUAGGCGGCUAGAUCAGUCGGGGGUGAAAGCCCCGGGCUUAACCUGGGAACUGCAUCCGAUACUGUCUAGCUUGAGUACAGGAGAGGAGAGUGGAAUUCCACAUGUAGCGGUGAAAUGCGUAGAUAUGUGGAGGAACACCAAUGGCGAAGGCAGCUCUCUGGCCUGAUACUGACGCUGAGGUGCGAAAGCGUGGGGAGCAAACAGGAUUAGAUACCCGAGUAGUC
RNAcentral lists this ribosomal RNA (465 nucleotides) under uncultured bacterium. RNAcentral's name for it is "partial 16S ribosomal RNA". It matches the Rfam family "Bacterial small subunit ribosomal RNA", at positions 339 to 795 of the family's 1533-position model. The record is from RNAcentral.